Molecule: ribosomal RNA, 487 nt
Filed under: uncultured bacterium
Lineage: Bacteria
Description: bacterial SSU rRNA
Rfam family: Bacterial small subunit ribosomal RNA
Source: RNAcentral
AUCAACGCUGGCGGCGUGCCUCAGACAUGCAGGUCGAACGCGAAAGUCUCCUUCGGGAGACGAGUAGAGUGGCGCACGGGUGAGUAACACGUAGGUUAUCUACCUCCGAGUGGGGAAUAACAGCCGGAAACGGCUGCUAAUACCGCAUAAUACCGAAAGGUCAAAGCUUUAUGUGCUUGGAGAGGAGCCUGCGGCAGAUUAGCUAGUUGGUAAGGUAAUGGCUUACCAAGGCGACGAUCUGUAUCCGGUCUAAGAGGACGGUCGGACACACUGACACUGAAUAACGGGUCAGACUCCUACGGGAGGGCAGCAGUCGGGAAUUUUGGGUCAAUGGGCGAAAGCCUGACCCAGCAACGCCGCGUGAAGGAUGAAAUCCCUCGGGAUGUAAACUUCGCAAGAAUAGGAAGAAUAAGGAGGGGUUAAUAACCCUUUUGAUGACGUACUAUUUGUAAGCUCCGGCUAACUCCGUGCCAGCAGCCGCUGUAAC